ACUCAAAGGAAUUGACGGGGGCCCGCACAAGCAGUGGAGCGUGUGGUUUAAUUCGACGCAACGCGCAGAACCUUACCAGGGCAUGACAUCAUGUUGCCGUCUGUGGAAACACAGAUUUCCGUAGCAAUACGGACGGCAUGACAGGUGUUGCAUGGUUGUCGUCAGCUCGUGUCGUGAGAUGUUGGGUUAAGUCCCGCAACGAGCGCAACCCCUAUUCAGUGUUGCCAGCGGUACGGCCGGGGACUCACUGAAGACUGCCGGAGACGAUCCGGAGGAAGGUGGGGAUGACGUCAAAUCAUCAUGGCCCUUAAGCCCUGGGCUACACACGCGCUACAAUGGCCGGUACAACGGGCAGCGAAGGAGCGAUCUGGAGCGAAUCCCUUAAAAUCGGCCCCAGUUGGGAUCGCAGGCUGCAACUCGCCUGCGUGAACACGGAAUUGCUAGUAAUCGCGAAUCAGCUACGUCGCGGUGAAUACGUUCCCGGGCCUUGUACACACCGCCCGU
This 504-nucleotide ribosomal RNA is filed under the name uncultured bacterium. Its description in RNAcentral is "bacterial SSU rRNA". It matches the Rfam family "Bacterial small subunit ribosomal RNA", at positions 899 to 1397 of the family's 1533-position model. The record is from RNAcentral.